GGUAUGAGUACAGUGGCGCACGGGUGAGUAACGCGUAGGUAUCUGCCUUUUAGUGGGGAAUAACACAGCGAAAGUUGUGCUAAUGCCGCAUGUGAAAGUGAUUUCAAAGGGGGGUAGCAAUACCUCUUGCUAAAAGAUGAGCCUGCGUGACAUUAGGUAGUUGGUGGGGUAAUGGCCUACCAAGCCGACGAUGUCUAUCCGGUCUGAGAGGAUGAUCGGACACACUGGAACUGAGACACGGUCCAGACUCC
RNAcentral lists this ribosomal RNA (251 nucleotides) under uncultured bacterium. RNAcentral's name for it is "partial 16S ribosomal RNA". It matches the Rfam family "Bacterial small subunit ribosomal RNA", at positions 83 to 339 of the family's 1533-position model. The record is from RNAcentral.